RNAcentral lists this long non-coding RNA (337 nucleotides) under Danio rerio (zebrafish). Its description in RNAcentral is "si:dkey-191m6.3 (ENSDARG00000096550.2)". The record is from RNAcentral. Lineage: Eukaryota; Metazoa; Chordata; Actinopteri; Cypriniformes; Danionidae.
GCUUCCUGUUGUCUGACUGACCUGCUUUACUCCAAACGAACGUAAAGGAAAUAGUCACAAUUACGAUGGCCACUAGAUUGUUUAAAAGUAAAGACAAUAAACAAGUAGCCUAGUCAUUUUCACGAAUAUCUUCUGUUUUCCUCGACCUCCUGUUGGAGCAACUAUUGCAUGCAGAUUUUCUCAGUACUUUGGUUGAAAAGACUUGGAAAUGUUCCCGCCAAUAUCAACACCACGUGCAGUGUGGAGUCAAACAGAGUCUCAGCAACGACUGACUACAAGCCGAUCAUUACAGGCCGUCUCUGAUAAGGAUCUUCCAUGUGAAUAAUGCACAAAGCCU